RNAcentral lists this ribosomal RNA (429 nucleotides) under Chloroflexota bacterium. RNAcentral describes it as "Chloroflexi bacterium partial 16S ribosomal RNA". It matches the Rfam family "Bacterial small subunit ribosomal RNA", at positions 355 to 776 of the family's 1533-position model. Lineage: Bacteria; Bacillati; Chloroflexota. The record is from RNAcentral.
UGGGGAAUAUUGCACAAUGGGCGCAAGCCUGAUGCAGCCAUGCCGCGUGUAUGAAGAAGGCCUUCGGGUUGUAAAGUACUUUCAGCGGGGAGGAAGGGAGUAAAGUUAAUACCUUUGCUCAUUGACGUUACCCGCAGAAGAAGCACCGGCUAACUCCGUGCCAGCAGCCGCGGUAAUACGGAGGGUGCAAGCGUUAAUCGGAAUUACUGGGCGUAAAGCGCACGCAGGCGGUUUGUUAAGUCAGAUGUGAAAUCCCCGGGCUCAACCUGGGAACUGCAUCUGAUACUGGCAAGCUUGAGUGUCGUAGAGGGGGGUAGAAUUCCAGGUGUAGCGAUGAAAUGCGUAGAGAUCUGGAGGAAUACCGGUGGCGAAGGCGGCCCCCUGGACGAAGACUGACGCUCAGGUGCGAAAGCGUGGGGAGCAAACAGG